This 371-nucleotide ribosomal RNA is filed under the name uncultured organism. Its description in RNAcentral is "partial 16S ribosomal RNA". It matches the Rfam family "Bacterial small subunit ribosomal RNA", at positions 527 to 896 of the family's 1533-position model. The record is from RNAcentral.
GUAGGUGGCAAGCGUUGUCCGGAAUUAUUGGGCGUAAAGCGCGCGCAGGCGGUUCUUUAAGUCUGAUGUGAAAGCCCACGGCUCAACCGUGGAGGGUCAUUGGAAACUGGAGAACUUGAGUACAGAAGAGGAAAGCGGAAUUCCACGUGUAGCGGUGAAAUGCGUAGAGAUGUGGAGGAACACCAGUGGCGAAGGCGGCUUUCUGGUCUGUAACUGACGCUGAGGCGCGAAAGCGUGGGGAGCAAACAGGAUUAGAUACCCUGGUAGUCCACGCCGUAAACGAUGAGUGCUAAGUGUUAGGGGGGUUUCUGCCCCUUAGUGCUGCAGCUAACGCAUUAAGCACUCCGCCUGGGAGUACGGCCGCAAGGCUG